UACGGAGGGUGCAAGCGUUAUCCGGAUUUACUGGGUUUAACGGGUGCGUCGGCGGCUUUGUAAGUCCGAGGUGAAAUCUCCGAGCUUAACUCGGAAACUGCCUUGGAUACUAUAAGUCUUGAGUGACGUUGAGGUUAGCGGAAUAUGUCAUGUAGCGGUGAAAUGCUUAGAUAUGACGUAGAACAUCUAUUGCGGAGGCAGCUAACUAAGCGUAUAUUGACGCUGAUGCACGAAAGCGUGGGGAUCAAACAGG
Molecule: ribosomal RNA, 253 nt
Filed under: uncultured bacterium
Lineage: Bacteria
Description: partial 16S ribosomal RNA
Rfam family: Bacterial small subunit ribosomal RNA
Source: RNAcentral